UCGAGAAUAUUCGACAAUGGGCGAAAGCCUGAUCGAGCGACGCCGCGUGGAGGAUGAAGUACUUCGGUAUGUAAACUCCUUUUAUAGGUAAACAAGUUAUUGAGUAACUUAUGAAUAAGAGGUUGCUAAACUCGUGCCAGCAGCAGCGGUAAUACGAGUGCCUCAAGCGUUAUCCGGAAUUAUUGGGCGUAAAGGGUGUGUAGGUGGUUUUGUUAGUCUUUUGUUAAAUUCUUCGGCUUAACCGGGGGUCUGCAAAGGAAACGGCAAGACUUAGAAGGUGCGAGGGGUCUGUGGAACUCAUAGUGUAGCGGUGAAAUGCGUUGAUAUUAUGGGGAACACCAAAAGCGAAGGCAGCAGACUGGAGCAUUCUUGACACUGAAACACGAAAGCGUGGGUAGCGAAUGGG
RNAcentral lists this ribosomal RNA (406 nucleotides) under uncultured bacterium. RNAcentral describes it as "bacterial SSU rRNA". It matches the Rfam family "Bacterial small subunit ribosomal RNA", at positions 355 to 776 of the family's 1533-position model. The record is from RNAcentral.